AGCAAGUAGCUUUCCAGCUAUAUGAUGGGAAAGAAUAAGGGAUUUUAUAGUUCUAAACCAUUGACGCGCUGUUUGCUACUAACCAUUUAUGUGAUGAGAGUUCUGAAUAUUGGCUUGAUUUGAAGAAUGCCUUGUUUUGUAGCCCAGUGCACAGCACUGAAUCAUCCAGUGUUUAAAUUAUGCACAUCCCUCUGUUGUAAAACCUCUCCUACUAAACCUUUUGACAGCUGAAAAGAGAGCUUGUUGAUAGAAAGGAGGCCAUGGUAGUUGUGAUAUGCUAACAGCUGCAUUGCGGUAUUCUACUACUAGUUGUACCUGGUAGCAUAGGACUGUGGAGAACAACAAUGCUAUCCUUUGUUAGAUUUAUAUAGCACAUGAUCAGGGCAAUACAAAUAUACUAACCUCACGUGAAGUACCUGCUUGUGUAUGAUGCUCUACAUUUUCAUAAAUUCUUUCCUGCAAACAGAACAUUUCACAUCUUUCUAAUAAAACUUAACAAUUUUCUCCUAGUUCUGGC
Molecule: non-coding RNA, 517 nt
Organism: Pelobates cultripes (western spadefoot toad)
Lineage: Eukaryota; Metazoa; Chordata; Amphibia; Anura; Pelobatidae
Source: the annotation of a GenBank genome assembly